Molecule: non-coding RNA, 44 nt
Filed under: Schistosoma curassoni
Lineage: Eukaryota; Metazoa; Platyhelminthes; Trematoda; Strigeidida; Schistosomatidae
Source: RNAcentral
ACCAACUGACGAGUCCUAUAUGGGACGAAACGUGCGUCUUGGAU